GAUCCUGGCUCAGAUUGAACGCUGGCGGAACGCUUUACACAUGCAAGUCGAACGGUAACGGCGGAGAGAAGCUUGCUUCUCUCCGGCGACGAGUGGCGAACGGGGUGAGGUAAUACAUCGGAACGUGUCCGCUCGUGGGGGACAACCCAGCCGAAAGGUUGGCUAAUACCGCAUGAGUUCUACGGAAGAAAGAGGGGGACCCGCAAGGGCCUCUCGCGAGCGGAGCGGCCGAUGACUGAUUAGCCGGUUGGUGAGGUAACGG
This 262-nucleotide ribosomal RNA is filed under the name uncultured bacterium. Its description in RNAcentral is "partial 16S ribosomal RNA". It matches the Rfam family "Bacterial small subunit ribosomal RNA", at positions 15 to 263 of the family's 1533-position model. The record is from RNAcentral.